This 80-nucleotide transfer RNA is filed under the name Octadecabacter arcticus 238. RNAcentral describes it as "tRNA-Arg". It matches the Rfam family "tRNA". From Rfam's summary of the family: Transfer RNA (tRNA) molecules are approximately 80 nucleotides in length. Their secondary structure includes four short double-helical elements and three loops (D, anti-codon, and T loops). Further hydrogen bonds mediate the characteristic L-shaped molecular structure. tRNAs have two regions of fundamental functional importance: the anti-codon, which is responsible for specific mRNA codon recognition, and the 3' end, to which the tRNAs corresponding amino acid is attached (by aminoacyl-tRNA synthetases). tRNAs cope with the degeneracy of the genetic code in two manners: having more than one tRNA (with a specific anti-codon) for a particular amino acid; and 'wobble' base-pairing, i.e. permitting non-standard base-pairing at the 3rd anti-codon position. Lineage: Bacteria; Pseudomonadati; Pseudomonadota; Alphaproteobacteria; Rhodobacterales; Roseobacteraceae. The record is from RNAcentral.
UGGCCCCGUGGCUCAACUGGAUAGAGCAGCCCCCUCCUAAGGGGCAGGUUAUUGGUUCGAAUCCAAUCGGGGUCACCAUC